RNAcentral lists this ribosomal RNA (542 nucleotides) under Dipsas peruana. RNAcentral's name for it is "partial 16S ribosomal RNA". It matches the Rfam family "Bacterial large subunit ribosomal RNA", at positions 1895 to 2608 of the family's 2925-position model. Lineage: Eukaryota; Metazoa; Chordata; Lepidosauria; Squamata; Dipsadidae. The record is from RNAcentral.
GCACGCCUGGCCUGUGCAGAUUCCUCGGGCGCGGGACCCUAACCGCGUAAGGUAGCGUGGCACUUGUCUAUUAAUUGUAUACCAGUAUGAAAGGCAAAAUGAGGGACUAACUGUCUCUUAGUCUCUUGAAUUAAACUGAUCUUCUAGUAAAAAAGGUAGAAUACACAGAUUAAACCAGAAGACCCUGUGAAGCUUGAACUAAACUAUUAAACCCUAUAAUAUAUACUUUCGGUUGGCGCGACCUUGGAAAAAAAAAAAACUUCCAAACACACGACUACACUCACACAAGGGACCACAAGCCUAUACAAAUACCCAGUACAACUGAUAAUUGAACCAAGUUACUCCAGGGAUAACAGCGCCAUCUUCUUCAAGAGUCCAUAUCAAAAAGAAGGUUUGCAACCUCCUUGUUGGAUCAGGACAUCCUAAUGGUGCACCCGCUAUUAAGGGUUCGUUUGUUCAACGAACCUCAAUCCUACAUGAUCUGAGUUAGAAGCGGACUAAGGGUUCGUUUGUUCAACGAUUAACAGUCCUACGUGAUCUGA